ACCUGGUUGAUCCUGCCAGUAGUCAUAUGCUUGUCUCAAAGAUUAAGCCAUGCAUGUGUAAGAUCGGCAUAGUCUGGUUUCGGCCAGAACAAUGUUAAUCUGUGAAAGGCUCAUUAAACAAGUUAUGAAUUUAGCCACCUGGUUCCGUCGCAAGACGUAGGAAUAACACUGUCAACUGCAGCGAUAAUGCCUGAAAAACGUGUGAAUUUAGUAGCACAAAUACUAGAGUAUGGAUGAGUCCGCUCUAUUCAGGAGGGUUUUCCCUCUGUUGACCAUCGAGUUCGAGGGUUGAAUACUUAGGCUUCGGCUUCUGUUGAAAGCUUUAUCGGUGGCCGGGAAGAUAUGUUUCUAAUCUAUUAGCCAGACUAUUGGGUAAGGUCCAAUUUUCGGCUAUAAUGGAUACAGGGGAUCGGUGUCCGACUCUGGAGAGAGAGCCUGAGAAACGGCUAUCACAUCUAAGGACGGCAGCAGGCGCGUAAAUUACCCAAUCCUAAUUCAGGGAGGUAGUGACAAGACGUAGCGACUUUGCACCAAAUGGUGUGAAGGUACCACUUAGUGGUUUGAAAUGGAUGGAGACUAAAGCUCUCCUUGAGUAGCAAUUAGAGGACAAGUCUGGUGCCAGCACCCGCGGUAAUUCCAGCUCUAAAAGUGUAUAUUAAUACUGUUGUAGUUAAAACGCCCGUAGUUUACCUAAGGGGUUUGAUCACUCAUCUGUCCAGGAGAUGUCUUUGUUGUGGUGUCAUUCGUGCCACUGCGCUUAGGCUAUUCUGGGCCUUGGCUCUUACCGCUGGUCAAUUUUUUUGACCAGCGUCAAAGGGUAGGUGGGUGCUUCCGGCCUCGAUCCUCUCCAUUUUCUAUGGGGGGGCCUCUGGAACAACCGUAAACAAAUCAGCGUGUUCAAAGCAGGCUAUGUAUGGGUUUUACCCUUUGCUUGAAUGAUUUAGCAUGGAAUUGUACUGAAGUUGGCGAGGUGUUUCACCAAGCCAGCGGUUGUAAUGAGACACUGGAAGAGGCUCCAAGUACUAUGGCGCGAGAGGUGAAAUUCAGUGACCGCCAUAUGACUAUCUAAUGCGAAAGCAGUUGUAGCCAGUACGUGUCUGUCAAUCAGGGACGAAAGUUGAGGGAUCGAAGAUGAUUAGAUACCGUCGUAGUCUCAACCGUAAACGAUACCAACACGAGAUUGGUAGUGAAACCAUAAUUAGAUCCUAUCAGCAUCCAAGGGAAACCGUUAAGUCUUUGGGUUCUGGGGGGAGUAUGGUCGCAAGGCUGAAACUUAAAGGAAUUGACGGAAAGGCACCACCAGGAGUGGAGUAUGCGGCUUAAUUCGACUCAACGCGGGGAAACUCACCAGGUUAGGAUGUGAAUAUGAUUGACAGAUUGAAGUUCUUUCUUGAUUUUACAGAAGGUGGUGCAUGGUCGUUCUUAGUUCGUGGAGUGAUUCGUCUUGUUAAUUCAGAUAACGAGCGAGACCUUAACCUGCUAAUUAGCUAGAAAGGGGGUUUACCCCCUCAUCGAACAGAACCUGUUAGGGUUCACUAGAUUUUCUAGUUGAUACUACAUUGUAGUAUUACUUCUUAGAGGUACAGCACUCGCACAAUAGAGUGAGGAAGUUUAAGGCGAUAACAGAUCUGUGAUGCCCUUAGAUAUCCUGGGCCGCACGCGUACUACAAUAUUGGUAGCAACAGGUAACGUCAUGCCGUCUUUUAGACGGCAACCCUUGUCGGAAACGAUUGGGAAAUCCUAUAAAGAGUAAUAUGACUGGGAUUGAGGUUUGGAAGAUCCUCAUGAACGAGGAAUUCCUAGUAAGCAUGAUUCAUCAAGUCGUAUUGGCUUAGUCCCUGCCUUUUGUACACACCGCCCGUCGCUCGUACCGACUGAAGAAAACCGUGAGUUAGAUGGACUACUUGGUUGUAUAACCGGGUUGAAAUCUACCGAACGGCCAGCUUUGUAGGAACGAGAAGUCGUAACAAGGUCUCCGUAGGUGAACCAGCGGAAG
This 1996-nucleotide ribosomal RNA is filed under the name Vahlkampfia avara. RNAcentral's name for it is "SSU rRNA". It matches the Rfam family "Eukaryotic small subunit ribosomal RNA". Lineage: Eukaryota; Heterolobosea; Eutetramitea; Acrasida; Vahlkampfiidae. The record is from RNAcentral.